This 484-nucleotide ribosomal RNA is filed under the name uncultured bacterium. RNAcentral describes it as "partial 16S ribosomal RNA". It matches the Rfam family "Bacterial small subunit ribosomal RNA", at positions 30 to 507 of the family's 1533-position model. The record is from RNAcentral.
AUUGAACGCUGGCGGCAGGCCUAACAUAUGCAAGUCGAGCGGAUGAAGGGAGCUUGCUCCUGGAUUCAGCGGCGGACGGGUGAGUAAUGCCUAGGAAUCUGCCUGGUAGUGGGGGAUAACGUCCGGAAACGGGCGCUAAUACCGCAUACGUCCUGAGGGAGAAAGUGGGGGAUCUUCGGACCUCACGCUAUCAGAUGAGCCUAGGUCGGAUUAGCUAGUCGGUGGGGUAAAGGCCUACCAAGGCGACGAUCCGUAACUGGUCUGAGAGGAUGAUCAGUCACACUGGAACUGAGACACGGUCCAGACUCCUACGGGAGGCAGCAGUGGGGAAUAUUGGACAAAGGGCGAAAGCCUGAUCCAGCCAUGCCGCGUGUGUGAAGAAGGUCUUCGGAUUGUAAAGCACUUUAAGUUGGGAGGAAGGGCAGUAAGUUAAUACCUUGCUGUUUUGACGUUACCAACAGAAUAAGCACCGGCUAACUUCGUG